CGGUAAAACCAGCACCUCAAGUGGUCAGGAGGAUUAUUGGGCCUAAAGCAUCCGUAGCCGGCUUUGUUAGUUUUCGGUUAAAUCUAUAUGCUCAACAUAUAGGCUGCCGGGAAUACUGCAAAGCUAGGGAGUGGGAGAGGUAGACGGUACUCCGUAGGAAGGGGUAAAAUCCUUUGAUCUAUGGAUGACCACCUGUGGCGAAGGCGGUCUACCAGAACACGUCCGACGGUGAGGGAUGAAAGCUGGGGGAGCAAACCGGAUUAGAUACCCGGGUAGUCCCAGCUGUAAACUAUGCAAACUCAGUGAUGCAUUGGCUUGUGGCCAGUGCAGUGCCGCAGGGAAGCCGUUAAGUUUGCCGCCUGGGAAGUACGUACGCAAGUAUGAAACUUAAAGGAAUUGGCG
RNAcentral lists this ribosomal RNA (402 nucleotides) under uncultured archaeon. Its description in RNAcentral is "bacterial SSU rRNA". It matches the Rfam family "Archaeal small subunit ribosomal RNA", at positions 468 to 870 of the family's 1478-position model. The record is from RNAcentral.